RNAcentral lists this ribosomal RNA (531 nucleotides) under uncultured archaeon. Its description in RNAcentral is "bacterial SSU rRNA". It matches the Rfam family "Archaeal small subunit ribosomal RNA", at positions 53 to 590 of the family's 1478-position model. The record is from RNAcentral.
GCGAGUCUUUGUAGUAAUACAAGGCAGACGGCUCAGUAACACGUAGUCAACCUACCCUAUAGACAAGAAUAAUCUCGGGAAACUGGGCAUAAUUCUUGAUAGAUCAUAAUGCCUGGAAUGGUUUAUGGUUAAAAUGAUUCGUCGCCAUAGGAUGGGACUGCGGCCUAUCAGCUUGUUGGUGAGGUAAUGGCCCACCAAGGCGAUUACAGGUACGGGCUCUGAGAGGAGAAGCCCGGAGAUGGGUACUGAGACACGGACCCAGGCCCUAUGGGGCGCAGCAGGCGAGAAAACUUUGCAAUGUGCGAAAGCACGACAAGGUUAAUCCGAGUGAUUUCUGCUAAAGAAAUCUUUUGCCAGUCAUAAAACCACUGGUGAAUAAGGGGUGGGCAAGUUCUGGUGUCAGCCGCCGCGGUAAAACCAGCACCUCAAGUGGUCAGGAUGAUUAUUGGGCCUAAAGCAUCCGUAGCCGGCUUUGUUAGUUUUCGGUUAACUCCAUGUGCUCAACGCAUGGGCUGCCGAAAAUACUGCAUA